Molecule: ribosomal RNA, 445 nt
Filed under: uncultured bacterium
Lineage: Bacteria
Description: partial 16S ribosomal RNA
Rfam family: Bacterial small subunit ribosomal RNA
Source: RNAcentral
GUGAGGAAUAUUGGUCAAUGGACGAGAGUCUGAACCAGCCAAGUCGCGUGAAGGAAGACGGUUCUAUGAAUUGUAAACUUCUUUUGUGCAGGAAUAAAGUGGGUUACGUGUAACCUUUUGUAUGUACUGUACGAAUAAGGAUCGGCUAACUCCGUGCCAGCAGCCGCGGUAAUACGGAGGAUCCGAGCGUUAUCCGGAUUUAUUGGGUUUAAAGGGUGCGUAGGUGGAUUGAUAAGUCAGCGGUGAAAGUUUGCAGCUUAACUGUAAAAUUGCCGUUGAAACUGUCGGUCUUGAGUGCAAAUGAGGUAGGCGGAAUGUGUAGUGUAGCGGUGAAAUGCUUAGAUAUAACACAGAACUCCGAUUGCGAAGGCAGCUUACUGGGAUGCAACUGACACUGAUGCACGAAAGCGUGGGUAUCAAACAGGAUUAGAUACCCGAGUAGUCC